ACACAAACCAGCUAUUUCAAGAGUUGUAGGCCUGUAGCACAUGGCAAAGAGAUAAUCGAAAGGAGUUAAAACAGUAAGGAAGCUCAAACACGCUAACAUGUGUUGGAGACACAACAGAAAGAUCAGUAGUCUUAAAGUAUAAUUUGUUGUGUGAUAUAGUUAUAAAGUUCAUGUUGUGGACUUAUGGCUGCAUUCAAAAGGUAACAGCUACCAAGUAAAAGCAAGGCAACAGGAAAGAGUAGAACACAUACUCUUUGUCUGGGGGAUACCGCUAACAACCCAGGUGUUUGCAGCAAUUGAUGCUUGAACUGAACAGAAUUCACAAACAAAACGAUGUUAGAUCGAAAAUAAAAUGACAGAUGACUAAACUAUGUGAAAUAUAGAUUAUUUUUAUACCUUUGGGGUUAAUGAAUUGGAUAACAACAUCCUCCUUGAAAAUGUUGACUUCUUCAAUAGCAGGAAUGGCAUUGACACCUAUUCUUUUCAAGGUGCUCUGUAGUCUUUUGUCAUCGGUUGUAGUUGUCUUGUGUACAACCUUCUUCUUUCUGCAGAAGCAGAAAUCAUUCAGUAAACAUGAAUGAGAAAAAUAAGAUACCUUAUCAAUACUUCUCUCAUGUCCCUCUCCAUUACUCAAUCAAGUUUUGACCCUAAGUCAAAAACUUGUUAAUCAUUACAAAACUAAGUUUGGCUUAUAUUCCAAAUAUUUUUCAUCUUAUUUGGAAUUUAUGAAAUUGGGAGUUCAAGAUUGAAUUUUGCUUGUUUGUACAUUUUGCAAAGGAGAGAGAGAAUAGAGAAAUUUAUUUGCAAUUUAAGAUGAUGGAGUUGGAAAACAGGUUUGGAGCUAUUUCUCAAAUUUGGAAAAUAACUCCAAGUUGGAUUUGGAAAUUUUAUGACCAAACAGUGACUUUGAAAUGAAGUGGACAAUUCUGCGGGGAUUAAAAUGAAAAACAACCAUGAUCGAACAGGCUCUUAAGUAACUGGAAUCUUUUGAGCAAGCGACAAGAGCAUACAUUCUUUCUCAAUACAAAACAUUGUCUAUUUCCAUGUGGUAAGAGUCACAGAAACUACAGAAAACUAAACAGACCUUCUCAUGGUACCCUUUCCACCAGUUCUGACCGAACCAGCCAUCUUUUGCAACUUUUCUACAUUCAUCUGUCCCAGAAAAGCACCAAAAGUUAGUAUUUCUCAAAAAACAAGUAUCAAGAAACUAAAUGCUUAGUGCAUUCCAUUCAAUCACCACGAAAGCUACACUAAGACCAACAACCACACACCUAGCGUAAUCCCACAAGUGGGGUCUGAGGGGGUAGAGCGUACACAAACCUUUACCCCUACCUCAUGGAGGUAGAGAGUCAUAAACUACACUAAACCACAUCCAGAAAAUUCACAUACUAAAAAAUAAAGGCUUCUAUAUAGAAGUUCAAAACACAAGAACACAUGAAUGUUGGAGCUAAUAGCACGUACCAACUUAACAAAGGUAAGACCAGGAACAUUACAUCAUUAUUUUGGUGUAGACCAGUUUUCUGAGCUAUUAAAAAUUGAUCAUUGAUAUAAGAAUCCAGAGGAUGCCAAAAAACAGACAGCAAAAUAAGCCUCACUGCAAACUAAAAUAAGCCAAAACAGAACCAUCUAAAUGCUUAGGGAGCUUACAAAAUCAACAAGUGAAAAGGGGCCAUUCAAAAAUUGGUCACUUAUCCCUUUUAUAUAGUUCCAAAGUACUUAAAUUUCAUUUAAAAAUAUUCAAUUGUCAUCCUUAGAAAAUCAAAUUCCACUAUUCAGGUUAGGAGGGAGAGAAUAGUGUUAUCUAACAACAACAUAAUGAGUAUAACUACACAAAGUAAGGUUUGGGGAGAGUAGAAUGUACGCAAGAAACAGAUGUACGACGUGAUAAGAAAACAGAAACAACCCCAUUCUUAAAAGUCUUGAGAUGCCCAACGCCAAUCUAAAUCAAUCACCAAAUACCAUAGCAUACACCGGGUGGAGACCAAAAAAGAGUGUAUGGAGCAACACUGGUUGAGAACACUCUGCAAAGGAAUUUCAGAACUGUUACUGCUUGGCCUCUUAGUAAGCUCCGAUAGCAUUACCUUAUACUAAAUAAAUACACAAUGGCACCUCAUGGUACAAGAGACACCAAAUUGACUGCACCUCAUGGUACAAGAGACACCAAAUUGACUGCACAACCUCAAUUACACAACGAAAAACCACCCUGAAUUUCUACUGUUCCUGCUAAAAAUUAUUAGCUUGUGUAAUAUAGCAAGUAGCGUGACAUAUAAGAGAACGAAUGCUAAAAUAGAAUAUUAGGUUUUGAAGGGCAAAGAGUAGCUUACUAUUAAAAGCAUUUAAGUAUUCUUUUGAGAUGUGUCACAAUAGACAUGAAAUAGAACACUUAAAAGCAGAACAUUGAAAGUAAAGCAAUUCAACAAAACUUCAGGAAGCAUGACCCUCCUCAGCAGCAGCUUCAAAAGUUUCACCAGCCACAAGUUCUGGUACAUCAUCAUCAUCUGCCUGUGCUGCAGCAGCACCUACAGCCGCAUCUGUACCGGCAGCAGCACCAGGUGCUUGCUUCUGGAACUGCUCAGCCAACUUCUUCAAGUUCUCCAAAUUAUCAGGACCUGAAAAUUGUAUCUUCAACAGUCAAAACAUACGUUCAAUAGUUCAAGAUUUCUCAUGACUCAAAUGUAGGCCCAAAAAAUGAUACAUACCCAGCUGGUGAAUAAUCUGAGGAAGGAUAUCCUGCAAUUCUACAAAAGAAAAGAAAUAUAAACUUAGAAUUAUCAUGCAUCAUACACAAACCAGCUAUUUCAAGAGUUGUAGGCCUGUAGCACAUGGCAAAGAGAUAAUCGAAAGGAGUUAAAACAGUAAGGAAGCUCAAACACGCUAACAUGUGUUGGAGACACAACAGAAAGAUCAGUAGUCUUAAAGUAUAAUUUGUUGUGUGAUAUAGUUAUAAAGUUCAUGUUGUGGACUUAUGGCUGCAUUCAAAAGGUAACAGCUACCAAGUAAAAGCAAGGCAACAGGAAAGAGUAGAACACAUAC
This 3033-nucleotide long non-coding RNA is filed under the name Capsicum annuum. RNAcentral's name for it is "long non-coding RNA (CANN_LNC011093)". The record is from RNAcentral. Lineage: Eukaryota; Viridiplantae; Streptophyta; Magnoliopsida; Solanales; Solanaceae.